GUUAUCAAUGUUUUUAAAAAAUUAAUAUUAUCACCAUCAAAUUACAUUACCGACAUGUUUUUUUCUAGACUCUACAAAAGAGUUAUAGUGUCUGGACUUCUUAUGGAGGUAACAUGCAGACAUAGUCCAGUCUUUGAAAAGGAAGGCUACACAUUCUUUAAGAUAGUGGAUUAUAAAAAGUUAGAGAAUGGAGUGACUUUGGAAAGGAGCAAGAGACCACAGUACAGGUUGACAGAUUCUGGAAGAAGAAGGGAAUAAAGGGACUGAAGAAACGAGUCAUGGGCAUCUGACAGAUUGGAGUCAGGAUCAUUUACAUGCAUAUAUGGUAUGUAAUUAAAAUGUACAAUUUGGGCUGAAAGGAAAUUACGAAGUCGAGAACUUAUUAUCAGUGUAUAAAGUAACCCAUGUUUCUAAUGAAAGAAAAAUAUUUUAGUUGGAAGACUUAUUCAUUAUGGGAAGUUAAAGUAUUUAAAAUUUAAAACAGUUUUAGAUGGGAACGAUAAAACAUAUAUCCUUCCCUACUUUAAUGUAUUUUUGAGAUAUUAACCAAUGUUGUUGUUAUUUUGUUUUGUUUUGUUUUUGCUGUUGUCUCCUUCAUUGAGGUAGCUAAACUAUGAACUAGAUGUUCCUCAAGGAAGGGUUAUCAAAUCCUUGAAUUUUAAAAUUUCAAAUCUAAGAUCCAGACUUGAGAUAAAAUAAUUUGAAAAAUACCUGAUGGGUCAAAACCUAUUUUUCCUGCCCCCAAGACUGAAGAUUCUCUAGACUUGGAGAAAAGGAGAGAAGUCAGUGGAAAAGAAAAGAGCUCAGAUGCUGGGUACCUGAAAGAAGACCCGGGCUCAGCUUUCUCUUGGAUUUAUUCUAAAGUCAUGUGUGAUUGGAAGAUUGACUGGAAAGUGUGGACAAGUGUUAGCAAAAGGAAGUGGCACCCCAACUCCUCCAAGAAUCCACAUCUGAACCAUUGCAUCCCAAGGGAAGGUAAUAUAAUAGAUUGGGAAAAUAGGCUUUGGGGUCUGAUACACCUAGCAUCUACUUUAUUCUCCUGGCAAGUUACUCAACAGUUCCAAAUUUCAGUUUUUUCCCCUGUAAAAUUGGGAUAAUAGGCUGCCUCAUAGGGGAGGGAAACAAUGCAGCAUAGAGCACUUUAGCCAGCACCUGUCACG
Molecule: long non-coding RNA, 1160 nt
Filed under: Felis catus (domestic cat)
Lineage: Eukaryota; Metazoa; Chordata; Mammalia; Carnivora; Felidae
Description: lncRNA (ENSFCAG00000047169.1)
Source: RNAcentral